CGAUCGUCGUCGCGGGAGGCAGCGCAGGCAAAGCGCGCGGCGGUCGCCACAUCAAGUACGCCGAGCCGAUGCCGCUGGCAAACCUGCACUUGACGAUGCUCGACAACGUGGGUGUGCGGCUCGAUUCGUUCGCAGACAGCACGGGAAAGAUCGAUACGCUGCUCAAGCCAGUUGAUUUGGCGGGAUGAAGCUGGGUGCGAUGGGUGCAACGGGUGCGAUGGGUGCAACGGGUGCGAUGGGUGCAACGGGUGGGAGGAGUGCGAUGCGCGCAUUAGGUGUUGUGAUGCUCGUCGUGGCAACUGCGUCACCGUUGUACGCAGCGGAUUCAGCGCUCGCGGGCGCGGUGCAGCGGAUGGACGGUGCCGCCAUUCGCCAGCUGAUCGAAAAACGCGCCGAGAUCAAUACCGCUCAGCCGGACGGCACGACGGCCUUGCAUUGGGCGGCGCACCAUGACGAUCUGGAUCUGGUGAAUCGGCUGCUCGCCGCGGGCGCCGAUGUGCGCGCGUCGAACCGGUACGGCGUAACGCCGCUCGCGCUCGCGUGCAUCAACGGGAACUCCGCCAUGGUCGAGCGAUUCCUCGAUGCGGGCGCCGAUGCGAACGGCUCUCUGCCGAGCGGAGAAACGAUGCUGAUGACCGCCGCGCGGACGGGCAAGGUCGCCGCUGUUCGUGCGCUGCUUGCGCGCGGCGCCGAUGUGCACGCGAAGGAGAGCCGGCGCGGACAGACGGCCCUCCUGUGGGCGGCGGCCGACGGCCAUGUCGAGGUGAUAGAAGAGCUCAUCAAGGCCGGCGCCGACUUCCGUACGCCGCUUGAUUCCGGGUAUACGCCGCUCUUGUUCGCGGUUCGCCAGGGACAAAUUGGCGCGGUCAAAGCGCUCCUGAAAGCCGGCGCCGACGUCAAUGAGGUCGUCCGCGUAACCAGGCCGC
This 926-nucleotide unclassified non-coding RNA is filed under the name uncultured fungus. RNAcentral describes it as "sequence contains 18S rRNA gene, ITS1, 5.8S rRNA gene, ITS2, 28S rRNA gene". Lineage: Eukaryota; Fungi. The record is from RNAcentral.